CGCCCUCCCUCGCCGCCAUCAGACUCCGUACGGGGGCAGCAGUGGGGAAUAUUGGACAAUGGGCGCAAGCCUGAUCCAGCAAUGCCGCGUGAGGUGAAGAAGGUUUUCGGAUUGUAAAGCUCUUUCGGCGGGGACGAUGAUUGACGGUACCCGGCAGAAGAAGCCCCGGCUAACUUCGGUGCCAGCCGCCGCGGUAAUUC
Molecule: ribosomal RNA, 200 nt
Filed under: uncultured bacterium
Lineage: Bacteria
Description: partial 16S ribosomal RNA
Rfam family: Bacterial small subunit ribosomal RNA
Source: RNAcentral